Molecule: long non-coding RNA, 557 nt
Filed under: Sus scrofa (pig)
Lineage: Eukaryota; Metazoa; Chordata; Mammalia; Artiodactyla; Suidae
Description: lncRNA (ENSSSCG00070024078.1)
Source: RNAcentral
GCUUGAGUCCUGGACAUGCGGAUUUCUAGAGUCAGGCAGGGGAGGCAUCCGGCCUCUGGAAGGCUGGGCUUCAGGUAGUGAAGGCGGUGUGUCACUGCGGUGGUAUCUGGGAGGCGUGCCGAGCCUCUCCGUGUGCGCGUCCCCUCCAGAAAUCUCCACAUCCCCCUGCUUCUCUCUCCACCAGAGCCGCCUCUCCUCUGCCGACUGCCUGCCUGCCUGCCUGCCUGCCUGCCUGCCUGCCUGCCUGCCUGCCUGUGCCAAGAAGCCUACCCGAAUCGAGGGAAGAGAGAAUGCCCGGGAGCGCCUUAACUUCACGCCGGGCGCAAGGGCGGAAGGGGGCCGAUUGGUUGACAGCCGGCUGCCUUGCCUUAAGAAGCAGGGCGUCUGAUGUCAAGCCGCCUCUCCCUCUGCCGACUGCCUGCCUGCCUGCCUGCCUGUGCCAAGAAGCCUACCCGAAUCGAGGGAAGAGAGAACGGUGCCCGGGAGCGCCUUAACUUCACGCCGGGCGCAAGGCGGAAGGGGCCGAUUGUUGACAGCCGGCUGCCUUGCCUUAGGAG